AUCGGCAUAAAGGGACCCGUGUAAAAUCUAUAUAUUCAAGCCCCCAUGAAUUAUUUCGAUUCUAAUAGGUCAAAUACGGCAAUUCUUUUGGAUUGAAGCGCUCUAGGUGGAGGCAAAUAUUUGCCAUUCCCAGAAAUAAACGUACUAUUAAAUUGGCGUAAAAGAUCGGAGCAAACUGAAUUAUUGACAUGCUUUAACUAUUCAAAAUAAUGUAUAUAGAUAGUUUUGAAUUAA
This 234-nucleotide long non-coding RNA is filed under the name Mytilus galloprovincialis (Mediterranean mussel). The record is from RNAcentral. Lineage: Eukaryota; Metazoa; Mollusca; Bivalvia; Mytilida; Mytilidae.